Molecule: long non-coding RNA, 1006 nt
Organism: Macadamia integrifolia
Lineage: Eukaryota; Viridiplantae; Streptophyta; Magnoliopsida; Proteales; Proteaceae
Exons: 2
Source: RefSeq, a predicted model, not a curated record
CUCUCUCUCUCUCUCUCUCUCUCUCUCUCUCCACCACAUCCCCAUUGGUUGGGUGGAUCUCUGGUGCUGCAACUCAAGGUCCCCGUCCCUGCCCUCUCCCUGGUUACUUGAGUUGGAGCCUAGGAGAAGCACGCAAGCUAACCUACUCAAUAGAGAUGAAUAGCCAAACCUCCCUCCCUUUACCGCCCCACCCUGUCCCUCUCCUUUACGGCCUCACCGUCUCGAUCUCUCCCCCUCCCGCAACCCCCUCUCACACUGCCCCACAUAGGGCAGCAACCCCACAUCCCACUGCUCUGUUUUCACCGCAUCCCCCUGCCCAGCUUAGAUUCGAUCGAGGUUUUUGGCGGAUAGUGGGCUCAGACAACCUUUUCCCAUUAUUGGUACUGUUUAUUUCGACCCGCAAAGUCUUUACAUUGAGGGGAGGAAUUAUAGGAAUGGUGCCAUCAACCCUAUCUUCGGGACUUCAGGAAUUAGACGAUGGGCUGCAAAGGAUCGAGUGAAAAACCUCCUCUUCAACCUUCUGAGCCAGCUUCUCUUCCUGCACAAUCUUGGGCUGUCCUUCCCUCUAAUCCCUCCACUACCUCUGCUUCCAAAAUUGCGUUUCAGACAGCUGAUAGAAGCAAACAAACCAACACGAUGUCGGAAAAUUCCAAUGUCAAAGUAGAAAGCCGAGGCAGUAUUGAGUUUCAGAAGGCUACUAAUCAAAGUGAGCAGAUAAACAACUUUUCUGGAUCUGCAGAGGUUCGAAUUAAGGGACAAUAAGCCAGUGGUGAUAUGUUGCAGAGGUAUCGUAUGAGUUCCAAACUGAUAAGAUGUAUGCUAUGUUCAGUUUUAGCAUCAUGAACAGCCAAUACUUUUCCAUUUUUGAUCUUAGUUGUAGUGUUUGUUUGUAUUUCUUGGCCAUCAAAAUCAUUUUUAGGUAUCAUUUCUUCCUGCCAAGAUAAACUUUUGUUUAGUUUGUUUACACAUAAAAAUGAUCCAGAAAGUAGAUCGAUCUGCUGUCAAA